RNAcentral lists this transfer RNA (72 nucleotides) under Aspergillus nidulans FGSC A4. RNAcentral describes it as "tRNA tRNA". The record is from RNAcentral. Lineage: Eukaryota; Fungi; Ascomycota; Eurotiomycetes; Eurotiales; Aspergillaceae.
UGACCGACGCAGGGGUCGAACCUGCAAUCUCCUGAUUCGUAGUCAGACGCCUUGCCAUUGGGCCAGCCGGCC